AGUGUUCGAGAAUGUGCCGACAAAUUGGUGAUAGAACUUACGUCAUCUUCAAUUUCCGGUGUUGAUUUAAAGUUUCCCAUCAAAGACUCAUUUAUAUCGUUAGCUAUAACUUCCGUUCUUGAUUCAGUGACUAAAGUCUUAUCAUUACUGUGAUUCUGUUCAUCUUCAUUUUCUACUAAAGGAUUUUUGUUUAGUUCUGAAGAGUCAUCUUUAUUAUCACUCUUUUGUUCGGGUCCG
RNAcentral lists this non-coding RNA (237 nucleotides) under Cryptosporidium parvum. The record is from RNAcentral. Lineage: Eukaryota; Apicomplexa; Conoidasida; Eucoccidiorida; Cryptosporidiidae.